AGAGUUUGCUUCUGGCUCAGGAUGAACGCUGGCGGCGUGCCUAACACAUGCAAGUCGAACGGGGCGCGGCGGCUGAGACUUUUCUUGAGCGGAAGCCGGCGCUGCCCAGAGGCGGACGGGUGAGUAACGCGUGGGCAACCUGCCCUGCACUGGGGGACAACAGCCGGAAACGGCUGCUAAUACCGCUUAUGCCCGCAGCCCUGCAUGGGGCGACGGGGGAAGCUCCGGCGGCUGCAGGAUGGGCCCGCGUCUGAUUAGCUGGUUCGGCGGGGCGACGGCCCACCAAGGCCACGAUCAGAAGCCGGCCUGACAGGGUGGGCGGCCACCUUGGGACUGACACACGGCCCAGACUCCUACGGGAGGCAGCGGUGGGGAAUAUUGCCCCAUGGGGGAAACCCUGAUGCAGCGACACCGCGUGAGCGAUGAAGUAUCUUGGUAUGUAAAGCUCUAUCAGCCGGGAAGAAAGUGACAGAACCUGACUAAGAAGCCCCGGCUAACUACGUGCCACCACCCGCGGAAAUACCUAGGGGGCACGCGUUAUCUCGAUUCUCUGUGGGUAAAGGGAGCGCAGGCGGCAUGGCACGUCUGGUGUGAAAACCCGGGGCUCUCCCCUCCGGAGUGCAUUGGAAACUGACUGGCGGUGAGUGCUGAAGAGGACAGUGGAACUCCAUGUGUAGCGGUGGAAUGCGUAGAUAUAUGGAAGAACCCCCGUGGCGAAGGCGGCUGUCUGGUCUGCAACUGACGCUGAGGCUCGAAAGCAUGGGUAGCGAACAGGAUUAGAUACCCUGGUAGUCCAUCCCGUAAACGAUGAGUGAUAGGUGUGGAGGGUCUCCGCCUCUUCAGUGCCGGAGCUAACGCAUUAAGCACUCCGCGUGGGGAGUGCGACCGCAAGGUUGAAUCUCAAAGGAAUUGGCGGGGGCCCGCACAAGCGGUGGCGCAUGGGGUUUUAUUAGGCGAUACGCGAAGCACCUUCCCAGGUCUUGAUAUCUUGCGCUAACUUUAGAGAUAAGGCGUUCCCUUCGGCGACGCAAUCACAGGUGGCGCAGGGUCGUCGUCAGCUCGUGUCGUGAGAUGUUGGGUUUAGUCCCGCAACGAGCGCAACCCUUGUUACUAGUUGCCAGCAUUAAGUUGGGCACUCUAGUGAGACUGCCGGUGACAAACCGGAGGAAGGUGGGGACGACGUCAGAUCAUCAUGCCCCUUAUGACCUGGGCUACACACGUGCUACAAUGGACGGUACAACGAGUCGCAAGCUCGCGAGAGUAAGCUAAUCUCUUAAAGCCGUUCUCAGUUCGGACUGUAGUCUGCAACUCGCCUACACGAAGUCGGAAUCGCUAGUAAUCGCGGAUCAGCAUGCCGCGGUGAAAAGGUUCCCGGGCCUUGCACA
RNAcentral lists this ribosomal RNA (1385 nucleotides) under uncultured bacterium. RNAcentral's name for it is "partial 16S ribosomal RNA". It matches the Rfam family "Bacterial small subunit ribosomal RNA". The record is from RNAcentral.